This 366-nucleotide ribosomal RNA is filed under the name uncultured organism. RNAcentral describes it as "bacterial SSU rRNA". It matches the Rfam family "Bacterial small subunit ribosomal RNA", at positions 526 to 896 of the family's 1533-position model. The record is from RNAcentral.
CGGAGGAUCCAAGCGUUAUCCGGAAUCAUUGGGUUUAAAGGGUCCGUAGGCGGUUUGGUAAGUCAGUGGUGAAAGCCCAUCGCUUAACGAUGGAACGGCCAUUGAUACUGCCAGACUUGAAUUACUGGGAAGUAACUAGAAUAUGUAGUGUAGCGGUGAAAUGCUUAGAUAUUACAUGGAAUACCAAUUGCGAAGGCAGGUUACUACCGGUGUAUUGACGCUGAUGGACGAAAGCGUGGGGAGCGAACAGGAUUAGAUACCCUGGUAGUCCACGCCGUAAACGAUGGAUACUAGCUGUUGGAAGCAAUUUCAGUGGCUAAGCGAAAGUGAUAAGUAUCCCACCUGGGGAGUACGAACGCAAGUUUG